Molecule: small nucleolar RNA, 130 nt
Organism: Chelonia mydas (Green sea turtle)
Lineage: Eukaryota; Metazoa; Chordata; Testudines; Cheloniidae
Source: RefSeq, a predicted model, not a curated record
UUGCCCCUUUUGCCCCCUCGCCCCCCGGGCCACCUAUGGGAGGGGCAAAAGGAGCAGCUGCCCCAGGGCUGGCGAUUUAAAAGGGCCCGGGGCUCUGGCGCCCCGGGCCCUUUAAAUCGCCACUAGAGCC